Molecule: ribosomal RNA, 253 nt
Filed under: uncultured bacterium
Lineage: Bacteria
Description: partial 16S ribosomal RNA
Rfam family: Bacterial small subunit ribosomal RNA
Source: RNAcentral
UACUAAGGGGGCUAGCGUUGUUCGGAUUUACUGGGCGUAAAGCGCACGUAGGCGGAUCGUUAAGUCGGGGGUGAAAUCCUGGAGCUCAACUCCAGAACUGCCUUCGAUACUGGCGAUCUCGAGUCCGGAAGAGGUGAGUGGAACUCCUAGUGUAGAGGUGGAAUUCGUAGAUAUUAGGAAGAACACCAGUGGCGAAGGCGGCUCACUGGUCCGGUACUGACGCUGAGGUGCGAAAGCGUGGGGAGCAAACAGG